RNAcentral lists this unclassified non-coding RNA (280 nucleotides) under Actinomortierella wolfii. RNAcentral describes it as "Mortierella wolfii partial internal transcribed spacer region". The stretch from base 1 to 46 matches the Rfam family "Eukaryotic small subunit ribosomal RNA", at positions 1786 to 1831 of the family's 1831-position model. The record is from RNAcentral. Lineage: Eukaryota; Fungi; Mortierellomycota; Mortierellomycetes; Mortierellales; Mortierellaceae.
AAGUCGUAACAAGGUUUCCGUAGGUGAACCUGCGGAAGGAUCAUUCAUAAUAAGAGUGUUUAUGGCACUCUUCAAAAAAUCCAUACCCACCUUGUGUGCAACGUAAAAAAAGAGAGAGUGUGUAAGAAAAAGUUUAACGAGCAAUCGUCCAGGCUUUUUUCUUUACUGCUUUCUUCUUUUUAAACUAAUAUACACUUUUCUAUAAUACGAUUGUCUGAAGAUGUUAGAGAAUUAACUAAAUUCUAAAACAUAACUUUCAACAACGGAUCUCUUGGCUCUC